Bactrocera dorsalis (oriental fruit fly) is the source of this 14711-nucleotide long non-coding RNA. RefSeq lists it as uncharacterized. The transcript is spliced from 2 exons. NCBI's taxonomy places the organism in Eukaryota, Metazoa, Arthropoda, Insecta, Diptera, Tephritidae. The record is from RefSeq and is a predicted model, not a curated record.
ACAGUUUCUUAUGUUAUUGAAAGUUAAUUCCUCUAAUUAAACCACCACCACAAAACUGUCAAUGUAGAGGAAACCUAAACUUGUUAAAACUUAUCAAGAUUUUAAUUUUGUAAUGUGAUUUUGUCCUAGUCCAGCUCAGCUCGUUUAUCUAAAUCGUAAGGUAAUUUUUAGAUAUUUUUGCAGCAGGUUCUAACUACUUUGUAUAUCCACAGUGUUCACAACUCAGGGCAUCAAUAAUAAAACAAGCAUGCAAGCAUGAGCAAUAUUGUGGCUCAACCUCGUAUUUAUCUUUUUUAGAAUCACUUCACAUUAUUAUCUAAAAAACUACGACUACCUUGAGUUAACCAGCCGAGUCGAGUAAUUUAGCCGAUAACAAUUGUUAUUAGGGAAAUACAUACAUAUGUAUGUCUCAUCCUAAAUAAGAAUGCACAAACUACCAUUUUUCUUUACUUCAAAACGCAUCCAGCACUAGCUUGCUAUAAAGUCCACAUGUUAGAAACUUUAGUGUUAUGAAUAUGCACUGAAUUUUUUCGCACUUAGAUCUGGCUCGAUGAAUAAUAUGCGUUCCUUUCUCCGUCUAAUGAUGUUAUACUUUUGUAAUUUGGUCGAGUUCCAAAAUACACCGUUUAUGACUUUGUCGUAUUGAUUUAAUUUCUCAUUUCUAUCUACUUAUUAGUAGUAAGUGCAGUAGUGGUUUACUCAGGCAUAUGCUUUUUGGAGUUUUUGAAGGAAUUCUAAGUAACUCCCUGUUGAAUGUCUGAGGUAUAUAAAGUUUGCAAAGAUGUUUGUAACACCAAGAAGGAAACGUCGGAAACCCCAUAAAAUCUAUACUAAUAUUAUAAAGCUGAAGAGUUUGUUUGUUUGAACGCGCUAAUCUCCGUAACUACUGGUACUUGAAUAAUUCUUUUUUUGUUGGAUAGUCCAUUUAUCGAGGAAGGCCAUUGGCUAUAUAGCAUCACGCUGCGACCAAUAGGAGCGAAGACACAGUGGUAAACGUAUAAAAAACGGGGGAAAUUAUUUAUCUUUGAGGGCUUCCGUUCCUUGCGCUGCGAAAGCGGUUCAAGAUACACAAAAGUUAUGUAUGAAAGAAUUAUUUCUCUUUUAAUGAUCUAAAAAAUUCCGUGAGUACCGUUUUUGUGAUAACUAAUUUGGUCGAAAUUAUUUGUUAGAGUUGUAUUAACAUAAUAAUAUAAAUUUUUCUAUAUUUAUUGUUAUUUUCUUCUGUCGUUACACGCAGUAUAAAACUAUUAAAAUUUUUUAGGUAAUCCGUAAUUUUUGUGGUUAGCAGUCAUUUUAUUAUUUUAGAUCUUACUCGCUGAUGUUAAUUCUUACUCUGCUUUUCUUAGAAAAUGCCACGGAAGCGGAAAUCUGGUAUAUCCAAAAUGGCAUGGUAGUUUUAUUGACUGGUGAUUUCCGUCAAACCCUCCCAGUGAUUCAGAGAGGGACAACAGCAGAUGAAAUUCAAGCGUGAAUUAAAUCAUCACGCUUAUGAUCGACAGUUGAAAAACUCCGCCUGAAAACGAAUAUGAAAGUGCAUCUUCAUAAUGACGUGGAUUCAGGAUCAGAAAUGUUGUUGAAAAUUGGUGAUGGUUGUUUAGAUGUUGACGUUGAAGGCUACAUAUUACUGUCAAGAGAAUUUUGUAAUUUAGUAGAAAGUGAUGUGGAUUUCAUUGCUAAUGUUUUUCCGGAAUUGCGAUAAAAUUUGUGUAGUGAUCAGUGGUUGUGUGCAAGAGCAAUAUUAGCACCAAGAAAUGAAAUUGUUAAUAGGAUCAACACUGAUAUUUUAAACGAGGUUCACGGAAAAAUGAAGGAAUAUUUGUCAAUGGAUACAAUUAUAGAUACGGACCUAAGUACUUCAUAUCCUGUGUAGUUUUUAAAUUCACUUGAACUAUCGGGUGUACCGUCACAUAAACUUCAAUUGAAACUAAAUGUACCAGUAAUGCUUAUGCGAAAUCUAGAUGCUCCUCUGCUAUGUAAUGGAAUAAAGAUUCGGAUAACAAAGUUGGGACAGAACAUACUUGGUGCUACUAUUUUAACAGGUGGCGGUAAGGGAAAUAGUGUUAUAAUACCUCGGAUACCAAUUGUUCCCACUGACUUUCCAUUCAAAUUUAAAAGGGUUCAGUUUUUCGUCAAGCUUAGCUUUGCUGUUACUAUAAAGCAGGCACAAGGACAAGCAUUACAGGCAGCAGGAGUGCAUUUAGAAAACCCAUGCUUCUCUCAUGGUCAACUUUAUGUAGCCUGUUCACGUGUAUCUAAUGCCCAGAAUUUACACAUAUUUGCACCCGACGGGAAAACUUAUAACAUGGUCUACAAAAAUAUCCUAUAUUAACACUCUGUAUUUUAUUUUUUAAAAUUGUUAGAAUUCAGAAUUAUUUAUUUUUGUUACGGUGAAAUAUAUUUUAACAUUUUUUGUUGCAUUUCAAUACUCAUAUUUUAAGGUGUUGAAACUUCAUUGUCUGCAGUAAUUUUUAAAAAUUGUUGAUCUCAGCCAAGCAAUAAAAUUUAGUUAUCAUUUUGACUCAUUUCUAUUAUUAUACCCUUACCCUUUAUCUCUCAUACUUAUUUAAUGGCUCCACUGCGGGCGAAGCCGCGGGUAAAGAGCUAGUAUAUAUGUAUGUACAUAUGUACGAGUAUAUGUAUGAAUAACCGAAGUGGCGAGCUGAGUCCAUUUAAACUUGUCCGCGGCUUGUUCACCUUGCAUAUCUUAUAUUGGAAGCAGAGGUUUUUUCUUAAAAAUUUUUUCCCCUCUAAAAUUAUGAGAGUAACAUAAUUGCGCUUGUAUUAUAAAUAAACCAUACAUCAAAGUAUACAAUAUAUGUACAUGGUGAGUUAUGAUAUCAGUGGCCAUAACAACCGCGUCGUUAGUUCUGCCUUCUUAAGGUUGGACAAAGAAGCGAAGCAAAUGGGUCUGGUAGUGAAAUAGGGCAAACAGUCCCGACUUGGCUUCCACGUCACUGUUGACAGUCAUACCUUCGAAGUCGAAGAUAAUUUCAUCUAUCUUACACUCAGUAUUAACACCAACAACUACGUCAGCCUCGAAGUUCAACAAAAGAUAACUCUUGCUAAUAGGUGCUUCUUCGAACUGAGUAGACAAUUGAGAAGUAAAGUCCUCUUACGACAAAUAAAGACAAAAUACUACAAGUCAUUCAUCAUUCCCAUCCUGCUAUAUGGGCGGAAAAUGUAUGGCCCUUUGCGCAUUGGCAACGGCGAAUGGCGUAGGCGAUGGAACGAGAUAUACCACGAGAUUGACAUAGUUCAGCGAAUCAACAGACAGAGGCUAGGUUACGUCGUUCGAAUGGAUGGAUACAUUCCAGGAGUGAGAGUAUUAGUCGCAGUACCCGGCAGGGUUACCAAAGGAAGAGGAAGACUCCGUUGAAAAGGCCAGGGGAGAAAAGCCAGGCUUCGAUUGAGAUACCCAAUUUGUGCUAAAUCGCGAAAACGAAGAACGACUGGAGCGCUAUUGUAAACUCGGCUUUAACUGCGUUGGUGUCUAAAGAAGAAGAUAAUCGAAUAUCAGAGUGUACGAUUUUAAUACUACUAGUUUCAGUUUUCUGAGCCCGUAAUUUUUCAAAAGCAUUUCUUUGUUCACCAGAGAUUAUUCCGUAGCGAUUUUGCCCAUUUUCGGGAAAUACUUGUAGUAGUCAACAAGAAUCUGCUAGAAUAUGCUAGCCGCUGUGCUACAAAAGGCAAUACAACAAAGGCCACGGUCGAAAGCUUGUUGUUGUAGAAAACAAUUAAAGCGCAUAUGAAUUAACGAAAUCCAACAUUAACUUAAUAUUUGGCUAAUUAACCGAUUUAAAACAGAGGUCGUUUUUUGUUUGUAUAUUUAUGUUUGUAUAUUUAUUUAUUAGUUUAAAUAUAAACAAAAUAAGAUGAAGUUUGAUUAGAAAUAUGUGUACAAAUGAGCAUCCUCCCCCGGGCAUCCACACACGCAACACUGACACGCACCUUCAUCACACCCACGUCACAAACCAGCAAAACUUACGUUCCACACCACACACCAGCUGAUUCCACACACAAGCGAAAAGAAAAGGGGACCAAAAGGACAACUGCAACUCACUUCGCUUUUAUCAUCCUCGACAUCCAGUCAAAAGUACGCGUGUGCGAUCCGUUUUUUGGAACAGCGGUUUCAUCAUCCUCCAGUUAUUUUCAUUUUUAUAUAUAUCCAGUCGGAGUUACGCGUGUGCGAACAUCUUUAAACGGCGUGUGUGCCAUCCUCAGUUUUCCAAUAUUUUAUAUAUAUUCAGUCGGAGUUGCGCGUGUGCGAACAUCUUUAAACGGCGUGGGUGCCAUCCUCAGUUUUCCAACAUUUUAUAUAUAUUCAGUCGGAGUUGCGCGUGUGCGAACAUCUUUAAACGGCGUGGGUGCCAUCCUCAGUUUUCCAACAUUUUAUAUAUAUCCAGUCGGAGUUGCGCGUGUGCGAACAUCUUUAAUCCUCCAGUUUUUUCCAACAUUUUUAUAUAUCCAGUCGGAGUUGCGCGUGUGCGAACAUCUUUAAUCCUCCAGUUUUUUCAACAUUUUUAUAUAUAUCCAGUCGGAGUUGCGCGUGUGCGAACAUCUUUAAACCUCCAGUUUUCCAACAUUUUUAUAUAUAUCCAGUCGGAGUUGCGCGUGUGCGAACAUCUUUCAACCUCCAGUUUUCCAACAUUUUUAUAUAUCCAGUCGGAGUUGCGCGUGUGCGAACAUCUUUAAACCUCCAGUUUUCCAACAUUUUUAUAUAUCCAGUUUCAUCCUAAGUCGGAAUCCUCAGCCGACACUCAUUGUGUAAAGUGUUUAAAAUUGUACCUAAGAUAAAUACAAACGCAAUAUAAUUACUUCCGUGUGCAUACGCGUGCACUAGUGUAGAUUCCAUUUUUUUCAUUUUGUUUCUAAGAAAUUUAAGAAUUUGAGGUGCAUUGGAAAAAGUGAGGUUGUGAGUUUUAUAUGGUCCUUCGAGACAAAACGAACGGCACUUUGGUGAAACGGUACAAUAUAUAUAUACAUAUCUAUAUAUAUAUGCAUAUACAUAUAUGUAAAACAACAACAAAAAGUUUUACAUAUGAAAGUGAAAUUUACAUGGUGAAUUCACACCAAUCUACAUAUGAGAAAACAAAAAGUGUGGUGAAAGAACCAAGAAAAAAAAGGGUGCACAAGUGCAGUGAAAUAAUAUAUACAUACAUACUAAAUCUAAAAGUAAAAGUGCACAAAAUUGUGUGAUACCCUAAUUAAUAAAUAAUAUUAAUAAAAGUUAACCAAAAGUGGGUGCAAACUAAAACUAAAUAAAAUCCGGGCGCGACAUAAAAACCCAUAAAUAAAAUACGGGCGCGAAAUUAUAACAAACAAAUAAAUAACAACAAAAUACAAAUAAAACAAAAGUGGACAAAAAAGAACCAUCAACACAGCAAGCGGAACGCCGGCGUUGGAAGGAAUUCCCAUCGAGACAAGCCAGGAAACGCACCACGGUUAAACCAAAAUAAAUUCCCAAAGUCCCUGAGGAAAAUCAGGGUCGAUAUGGAAGCCGAGAUGCCCAAUACUCCAACGCCCUCUGUACGUUCGGCCGUGACUGUUCCGCGCCCUAAAGCUACCCCUGUAGCAGCGCCGCGAACAACCAUAGUUCCCGCAGCCCACCGAGAGCUUCCGACAGCUCCGCGUAGAGACACGCAAGUCCGGUCUCCGGAACCAGCACCACUUCAGUGCGCGCUAUGUCGCCGCCGACAUCGAUUGCCACAUUGCGGUAUAUUCAAGGGGAUGACGCCUCAGCAACGCCAGCAGGUCGCCCAGGCCCACGGGCAUUGCUUAAACUGUCUGGCGCCUACCCAUCUAACGCGCGAAUGCACCACCGGGUAUCAGUGCCAGGUGUGUAUGGGUCACCAUCACACCAUGUUCCACCGCAAUGCUGGACCCGACAUUGAGCGUCGUCAUCCCCCUCGCGGCAGUACUGCCAGCCGACGACUCCCGCGACCGCAACCGCGAAGGCAAGCCUUCCCGUCGGAAGAGUCCCGCGCCUGGCGCCGUCAUCACCAUACCACCUCGCAUCGGAGGCGCCAUCCUAGGCCGCAGGCUCGUCGCAGGACAGGUCUCAGCAACGUUGUUGCAACACUGCAACAACUUCAGAGGUUACUAGGCUGAAUACUCGCCUAGGGGGGCCAGGAUGUACAAAUGAGCAUCCUCCCCCGGGCAUCCACACACGCAACACUGACACGCACCUUCAUCACACCCACGUCACAAACCAGCAAAACUUACAUUCCACACCACACACUAGCUGAUUCCACACACAAGCGAAAAGAAAAGGGGACCAAAAGGACAACUGCAACUCACUUCGCUUUUAUCAUCCUCGACAUCCAGUCAAAAGUAGGCGUGUGCGAUCCGUUUUUUGGAACAGCGGUUUCAUCAUCCUCCAGUUAUUUUCAUUUUUAUAUAUAUCCAGUCGGAGUUACGCGUGUGCGAACAUCUUUAAACGGCGUGUGUGCCAUCCUCAGUUUUCCAAUAUUUUAUAUAUAUUCAGUCGGAGUUGCGCGUGUGCGAACAUCUUUAACGGCGUGGGUGCCAUCCUCAGUUUUCCAACAUUUUAUAUAUAUUCAGUCGGAGUUGCGCGUGUGCGAACAUCUUUAAACGGCGUGGGUGCCAUCCUCAGUUUUCCAACAUUUUAUAUAUAUCCAGUCGGAGUUGCGCGUGUGCGAACAUCUUUAAUCCUCCAGUUUUUUCCAACAUUUUUAUAUAUCCAGUCGGAGUUGCGCGUGUGCGAACAUCUUUAAUCCUCCAGUUUUUUCAACAUUUUUAUAUAUAUCCAGUCGGAGUUGCGCGUGUGCGAACAUCUUUAAACCUCCAGUUUUCCAACAUUUUUAUAUAUAUCCAGUCGGAGUUGCGCGUGUGCGAACAUCUUUCAACCUCCAGUUUUCCAACAUUUUUAUAUAUCCAGUCGGAGUUGCGCGUGUGCGAACAUCUUUAAACCUCCAGUUUUCCAACAUUUUUAUAUAUCCAGUUUCAUCCUAAGUCGGAAUCCUCAGCCGACACUCAUUGUGUAAAGUGUUUAAAAUUGUACCUAAGAUAAAUACAAACGCAAUAUAAUUACUUCCGUGUGCAUACGCGUGCACUAGUGUAGAUUCCAUUUUUUUCAUUUUGUUUCUAAGAAAUUUAAGAAUUUGAGGUGCAUUGGAAAAAGUGAGGUUGUGGGUUUUAUAAUAUGAAAAGAUUUUUUCGACUACCCAAUAUUAAUUACAAGCAAAUGUGAAUUCAAAUGUCGUUGGAACAUUCUAUUAUAUUAUUAUCUAAAGACAACAUAAUAUGAUUUUCAAUUUUAUGACAAAUUUUAGUUAAUUGGGUCUCAUUUCCCGUAUAUAUUUCUGUAUCAUUGUUUUCAUUUUCAAAAUAUCUGAAAUACAAGUGUGUUAAGUUAUAUUGUAUGGAGCAGUUAUGCAAGGCUCCACAUGCAUUGUCGAAUUUUGCCAUCUUUUCAUGGCUGAGAAUUUUUCAUCGGCCCUUCAAUCGUUGGUUGAAUAAUAUAGCGUGAUUUUGGAUGGAUUUCAUUAACUUGCAUUUGGCGCAAAUCAUCUUCACCGUUUCUAAAUAGUUUCAAACACCAUUGCUCUAAAGGAUAUCCAGAAUCUCCUGUUAUUUUGAUUUCAUGCUUCCUCCAAAAAUAUCCUCUGCUCCACCAUAUUUUGAAUCUAAUGCUAAAACUUGAUGCUCUUGAUCACAAAAAAUAUAUACACACAUAUUCGUUAUUUCGUGAUAUACACACCUAAAUAUAAAAACGCGUAUAUUUAUAAGUGAGUGUGUAUCAUAUGUACAUACAUACAUACAUAUAUGCUACUUACUAUCAUUGAAAUAAAAGCACAACCAGUGAAACACGUAAAAUCGUGGCCCGAGUCAGUUGGCACGACCUAUCUUAUGGGCGCGCAAUGUAACUGAACAGUGAAAAACGCUACUCCCUUCUCUCUUUGACGUGGGAUGACGUGAGAAUUCACGACAUUUGGAUUUUUUGCCGCAGCAAACGAGGCAGCUGAUUUCUCUCUCACAACGCAGGGUUGCCAAUAUCAAUAUACUGCAGUAAUUAUCAAUUUUUAUAAUUCAAUCUGUUCAAUAUGUUUGAAAUUUUCUUAAAAUAACUCAAAAUCAGAGUCGAAUGCUAUUAUUUAUAAAUAUAUAAACUAUUUUUAAUAGUUUGUUUUCAGUUUUGAUAUUUUGUAUUGUAAAAAAUUGUAAUUGAAAAAAAGAUGUGCUCAAAACUAUAUAUGCAUAUUGGGCAAUGGCAACAUUGUUCAAAUGAAAACAAUUUGAUGGCUGAUUUCUGCGUUUUUCCUACGUUCUCCACUGUUCACACAUUUUGCCGAUGAGGAAGGAAAAGGAAGGAAGGCAGUAGCGUUUUUCACUGGUUGUGCUAUAAGACUGUGUCAUCCUUUUGUGUUGAAAAAUAUACUUUCUUUCGCAGUUUGAAGACCAAAAUGUGUACCUUCCUUAUAUCCGAUAUUUUUUUUAUAGUUAGCUGCAGUUUUUCACCAAAGUUUAGUCCACAAACCUACCUCCUGGAAGUUUAUAUUUUACAACAAAGUAUACUGUGCACUGAGAUAGUCGGACUGCUGAAAACUUAAUUAAACGUGGAUAAAGUUUCGUUUCCAUUUCCUUGACGUUUCCUUAAAUUUUACAAAGUGCUGUGGCCAAUAAAAAAAAUCUUCCCCAUCUAAGUGCUUCACUCGCCAAAACGAAAGAAGUCGCUGCUGGUUGAAGCAUUGAUAAAGCUGCGAUUGAUACAUGCCAUUUGAAUUUUGAUUAGGCGAAAGUCUUUGGUCAGUCUAAGGCGCUUUCUUAAUCUGUAAAUGUUUAAUGACUGUGAAGGUGUAUCGUAUCCUGAAACAAAGAAGAAAAGUUUGCCUUCGGUAACUGAUUUAACAAUAUAUAUUUAACAUGAAGUUACAAAAAACUACAAAUAUAAUAUAUUCGUGUUCAUUGGCACAUUGAGUGUUCAAAGUGUACGGACGUGUUUUUGAAUUCGCUCCAUGAUUCUAAUUUUUGCAAAAAGUAAGCAAACAGUAACAAUAAAUAAAAACAAACAAACAAAUAAAAAACAGUGCACAAAACAAAUAUAUGUAUAAAAACAAAAAAACCAACAAUAAUGAGUUCUUCGCAGCCUCACCCGCAAAACCGUAGGCAUUCCUUAAAUGCCUAUUUUAGCUUUGUCGAGCCAACAAAAGCAACGCCUGGCAAAAACAAAUGUAACGGCGAUGAUGAGUCAUCGCAGCGAUCAGAUGAAAGAGAGACUAAGCAAGCGCAGUCAGCAGCCACUAUGCAGGUACCCUGGUACCUGGCACCCGGACAGCGAAGGAAAAUAAAAUGCAAGGUAUGAAUGUUCCAAGCAAAAAAGGGCCAUCAGUUCAGACUGGUAUUGAGCGCUACAUUAAUGUAAAAAGGAAAUUGAGUCCUAUUAAAACAGCGGUCAAUACCAAAACAUUUCAAGCAGGCACGCCAAACAGUAAAAAGCCAGAAAUUCUUAAUGGCAACAGAUUUGCCUUAUUAAGCAAAAAGCUUAACGACGAAGCAAAGGGUAUCAUCACGGUCGUGAAUGCCAAACCCGCUCCAAUCUAUUUGCGUGAGCGUAGCUCAAAUGCACUUGUUUCCAAAAUGAGCAAUAUAAUAGGCACAAACAAUUUUCACAUUGUGCCCCUGAAAAAAGGUAACAUAGCUGAAACAAAAAUUCAAACAUACACUGAAAAAAGUUUCAUGGAUAUUGUAAAAUUCCUAUCAAAUAAUAAGAAGAAUUACUAGGUACUCUUACCAACUGAAGAGCUCAAAAGGCCUAGUUGUUGUAAUAAAAGGUAUAGAGUCUUCGGUAGACUCUAACGACGUUAAAGAAGCACUAGAAGAAGGUGGUUUUAGCAUUAAAUCAGUAGUAAAUAUUUUUAACAGGAACAAAGUCCCCUAACCAAUGUUCAAAAUAGAACUGAUGCCAAAUUGUAACCAACUAAAGAAAAAUGAAAUACACCCAAUUUACAAUUUAAAAUAUCUGCUCCAUCGCAGAAUUACCGUUGAGGAACCACAUAAGAGAAAUGGUCCGGUACAAUGUACAAACUGCCAAGAGUAUGGACACACGAAAGCAUAUUGCACUCUACGCAGUGUCUGUGUGGUGUGUGGUGAUCUACACUCUACUUCUAAAUGUACUCUUAAAAAAGAGGAUUUAAAUAAAAAAUGCAGCAAUUGUGGGGGAAAUAACACUGCUAACUACAGAGGUUGCCCCGUAUAUAAAAGAUUGGAAAUCGAAGUUGUCACAGGGCAUUCAAGCACGUCGUAACCAAAUAUUACAGACACCUCGUAAUGAAAUAAAAGCAACCUCAGAAAAAAGUUCAAAUUAUUUUACUUCUAACAAUAAUAAUAUGCAAGGAAGCUAUGCAAAUGUGGUGAAAGGCAACACUGUGCAAAUGCAACUGCCGCAAAAUCCUCCAAAUCGAGGUAUUGAAACUAUGAUUAUAAAUCUUACACAGUGUAUGACUCAAUUUAUGUCUACCAUGCAAAACAUGAUCCAAGAUUUAAUAAAAUCACAAAAUCUAAUGCUGCAAAAUUUAUUAAGUAAAAAAUGAGCUUACUAAAUGACUGUAUAUGGAAUGCUAACGGUGUUAACCAACAUAAAUUAGAGAUUAUUGGAUUUCUGUCUGAAAGGAAUAUAGAUAUAAUGCUUAUUUCAGAAACUCAUCUAGCAAAUAAAAAUAAUUUCAAUAUACCGGGACUUAGACUAUACGUUACAAAUCAUCCGGAUGGAAAAGCGCAUGGUGGCACGGCAGUGUUGAUUAGAGAUCGUUUAAACCACUAUGCUCUAGAAUCUCAUGCUACACCACAGUUACAAGCUAAACUAAAAAAAUCAAGGUUGUGACUUAAACCUUACGGCUAUAUACUGUCCACCUCGUUUUAAAAUUACAGAAAUCGAAUUUAAAGACUUUUUUGGAACACUAAGUCAAAGAUUUCUAGCAGGUGGAGAUUAUAACGCAAAACACACGUACUGGGCCUCACGUCUUAUUAAUCCGAAAGGACGACAGUUGUACUACACUAUUAUGAAUAAGCAUAAUAAGCUGGAUAUAAUAUCUCCUGGUAAGCCGACAUACUGGCCCAGUGAUAGAAGAAAAAUACCAGACUUAAUAGAUUUUGCUGUAGUCAAAAAUAUAGAUAGAUUGCUUAUGACAGCUGAUACAUGUACAGACUUAUCAUCUGAUCAUUCGCAUGUACUAAUAAAGUUAUACGAACAGCCCAUGAUAUUUGAGCCGAAAGUUUCUCUAACAUCACAUAAAAAAAAAAACAAAAAAAAUAAGUAUAAAAGUAUAUCAGCACCCACAUCAAUAUUGAUUGCAAAAUAAAUACAGGAGGAGACAUUGAUGAAAAUGUAAGAGAAAUUAAUGACGUAAUAACUAAUGCAGCUGUAUUAGCAACACCAAAAAGAAACAACAAACCAGUUGUUUUUAGAAAGAUCACCAAUAAUGAAAUUGAGAAACUUGUAAAUGAGAAAAGGCGAGCUAGGCGGGAAUGGCAGUUAAAUCGAUCCCCUUCAACUCUGCUUCAACUGAAAUCUGCUGUACGAAUGUUAAAAAAAGCGCUUAAACGCGAAGAGGAACACAACACUGAAAAUUAUAUACAGAAACUGUGUCCAAAUUCUCGCAAGCAAAACUCUCUUUGGAAAGCACAAAAGUCUUUCAAGCCACUAGUAGAUUCCAACUUGCCUCUAAGACAGUUGAAUGGUAAUUGGGCACGUAGUGAUGAGGAUAAGACAAAUUGCUUCGCAAAUCACCUAGAAAAGGUAUUUCAACCCAAUUGCCCAAAGAACAACUUUGAGUUGCCAACCUUGCCCAAUAUCGCAAGCGAGUCACAUGUGUCUAUUAGGACUUCUACUUCUGAAGUUACUAGAAUAAUAAAAGAACUUAACCCAAAAAAAUCACCAGGACUUGAUAAUAUUACCCCAAAAAUGUUAAUUGAGUUACCCAAUAUUGCCGUAAAGGUGCUCUCUUUGCUCUUCAAUGCAAUUCUUAAUCUCGGACACUAUCCAAAUUCAUGGAAAAAGUCGCAGAUCAUCUUGAUAGACAAACCUGGGAAAGACUUAACACAGCCGUCUUAAUACAGACCAAUCAGUCUUUUACCCUGUCUUUCUAAGAUAUUUGAAAAAUUGUUACUAUCAAAGAUGACUCCUUUCCUCCACGAAAAUAAUAUAAUAGCAACGCACCACCAACAUAGCACGAUUGAGCAAGUAAAUAGAAUUACUAACGAAAUAAGAAAACCAUUUGAGCACAGAGAGUACUGUUCAGUUAUAUUUCUAGACGUGGCUCAGGCGUUUGAUAAGGUAUGGCAUGAGGGCCUUUUAUACAAGAUUAAAAAUAUUCUACCUUCAGAAUUAUAUAUAACAUUGGAAUCGUAUUUAAGAAAUAGAAAAUUUAUGGUAAAAAUGGCAAAAAGACAGAUAAGAGCUGGUGUACCCCAGGACAGUGUUCUAGACCCAACACUAUACAUCAUAUAUACAGCAGAUCUUCCAACAGCUAGCAGUGUAUUAACUUCUACUUUUGCGGACGACACAGCCAUAAUGAGCCGUAACAAAUGCCACGUAGUAGCAUCAAGAGCACUUAAGGUUUGUCGAAGAAUGGCUAGAAAACUGGCGUAUAAAGGUAAAUGAACAAAAGUGUAAGCAUGUUACAUUUUCGCUUAGACCAAAAAUGUGUCCGGCAGUAAAAAUUAACAAUAUUUUAGUACCCCAAGCGAAUGAAGUAACUUAUCUUGGUAUUCACCUAGAUAGAAGACUUACGUGGAAAAACAUAUAUCUAGUAAAAUAACUUGCAUGAAGAUAAGAGCUGCAAAUUUAAAUUGGCUAUUAAAUAAAAACUCCAAACUUAGCCUAGACAACAGAGUGCUUUUAUAUAAUGCGGUCAUAAAGCCGAUUUGGAUGUAAGCCAUUCAACUGUGGGGUACGACCUGUGCAACUGAUAUAGACAUAAUACAAAGGUUGCAAUCAAAAAUGCUUAGAUCAAUCACGUGUUAAACAUGGUACAUGCGUAAUGAAAAUAUCCAUAAAGACCUUGGUAUUUCUAUGGUAAGGAAAGAAAUAGAAGAUAGCAGAAUUAAAUAUAUAUCUAAACUGCGUGAUCACCCAAACCCUUUGGCUAAUGCUUUGGUACAUUCCUACGAUCAAACACGGGUUAAAAGAAGAAAUAUGCCCGCGUAGUGAGGAGCAAUGUAUCACCAAAACAGCUCAAUCACUUGCUUGAGCGUGUCUAGUUUUUAAAUAGGUUUAAGAUUUUAUUAUUUAUUGUUAGGCUUUCAAAACAAAAAGCAGAUUCAAUAAAUAAAAAGAUAUUGAAACAAAAAAAAAAUUGGCGUAGACACGGUUUACGGGUUUAGCUGAGCGUGCCAGUCUUAUCUUCUUUUUGAUAUUUGGCGCCAAUUCGAAAUACCAAGUAGAGCCAUGUCCUUUUUCACCUGAUCUCUUGAACGGAGUAAAUGUCUUACUCUUCUUCUGCAUUUGCGAGUACUCUUCCAUCCAGACAACAUGACCUAGCCAGCACAGCCGCUGUUUCUUGAUUCGCCGCACCAUAGAGUAGGACUGGAAAGACGAGAGACUUGUAGAAUUUGGUCUUUGUACGUCGAGAGAAGACUUUACUUUUCAAUUGCUUACUCAGUCCAAAGUAGCACCCGUUGAAAAGAGUGAUUCUGCGUUGGAUCUCAAAGCUAAUAUUGUUGUUUGUGUCGAUGAUAGUUCCACGAUAGAACUAUUCACUACUUCAAAGUUAUAACUAUCAACAGUGACGUGCGAGCCAAAUCGUAACCGUUUAAUGGCAGGCAGUAUUUCGUAUUGUCCUCGUUCACAAUGAGACCCAUUUCGCUUCCUUAUCCAGUCUGGAGAAAACGUUUUUAUGAUCAAUGAUAUACAUAUAUAUAUAACUAUAUCCGGCAAAUAUUUUACAAAAAGGCUGAUGCACGCACCCUAUCAGUUUUUCGCUACCGUAUUUGAAUAGUUCGGCCGGUAUUCCAUCGGUCACUGCUGCUUUGUUGUUCUUCAGGCGGGUAACUGAUAUUCAAUCUCAUCAUAGUCGGACAAUGAACCAUCUAUUCGAUCGUCAUAGAUUGGGUUUCACCAUCUCCAGAUUUUACACGUUCCCCGCAGGAUCACUACAUCAGCACUUUGAGUCUUAAAAGAGUAGGCUCCGGUCUUAAAACCUCCUGUUAGUAGCCUCAUCUUUUCGUAGAAUUUUCAAGCAUUACCCCUGUCGUUCACUUCUCAAGCUCUUCAUACUCACGCAUAUCGGCCUCUUUUGUUUUGUCUGCGUAUGCGUCUCGCUUUCUUCUUCAACUUUCUAUUCCACCCCACCGAUAUUGCCUUUGCAAGGUUAGCAGUCUGUUUUCUCUCUGCUGCGACAUGGCAUUAUUAUUUAAACAAGUGGAACCCGAAAAUAUAUUUAUAAUAUAGCACGAACAUUUUUCUUUGACUUUACAAAAUAUCAUCAAUUUAUCUCCAGUAGUUUAUGAGAAAAUAAUUUUACAAUAUUAUUAAUAUUAUUAAUAAUAUAUUAAUAAUUCGUGCUUUAAAUUUCAACCUUCAAUACUUUAACAAAAAAUAGGAUUUUGACGAAAUAUUUAUAUCACGGGGUAUGCGUCCGAUUCCUUUCCUAAUGAACUGCUAAUUGCCAAAAUUGGUGAUUUUACGAAAUUUUCAUGACAUGGUUUGAUCUAAAUAUGAUUUUAAUCCAUUUAUAAUUCUUUAGAAUAUAAUA